RNAcentral lists this long non-coding RNA (318 nucleotides) under Elaeis guineensis (African oil palm). RNAcentral's name for it is "long non-coding RNA (EGUI_LNC037577)". Lineage: Eukaryota; Viridiplantae; Streptophyta; Magnoliopsida; Arecales; Arecaceae. The record is from RNAcentral.
CAUUUUAUGUUUCAGUGCCAUCCGUUCUUCGAUUCCAAAUAUAGCAAGAUUUCUCUUCUCUUCUUUUGCAUCUAGAUAAUCAAUGUUUUGCAGCAGUUCUUCCUUCUGCACUAUAAUGUUUUCUACAUUUGAACAGUUCCAUAAUCUGAGUUUUGACCUAAGUGUUUGAAGUUUCAGUACCAAAGUAGUGACUGGGUCUUGGGAAGUUGGCCCCGCAUUCUACCAUGUUUGGAUCAAAUCUUCAAAUCCUACAAUUGUUAGUUAGAAAUUUUCAAAAUGAAAUGGUUUGCUAUACGUGGGUUUACCAUUGAAUUGGGC